Molecule: ribosomal RNA, 447 nt
Filed under: uncultured bacterium
Lineage: Bacteria
Description: bacterial SSU rRNA
Rfam family: Bacterial small subunit ribosomal RNA
Source: RNAcentral
ACUCCUACGGGAGGCAGCAGUGGGGAAUCUUGGACAAUGGGCGCAAGCCUGAUCCAGCCAUGCCGCGUGAGUGAUGAAGGCCCUAGGGUCGUAAAGCUCUUUCGCCAGGGAUGAUAAUGACAGUACCUGGUAAACGAAACCCCGGCUAACUCCGUGCCAGCAGCCGCGGUAAUACGGAGGGGUUAGCGUUGUUCGGAAUUACUGGGCGUAAAGCGCGCGUAGGCGGAUUAGUCAGUUAGAGGUGAAAUCCCAGGGCUCAACCCUGGAACUGCCUUUAAUACUGCUAGUCUUGAGUUCGAGAGAGGUGAGUGGAAUUCCGAGUGUAGAGGUGAAAUUCGUAGAUAUUCGGAGGAACACCAGUGGCGAAGGCGGCUCACUGGCUCGAUACUGACGCUGAGGUGCGAAAGUGUGGGAGCAAACAGGAUUAGAUACCCUGGUAGCGACUGA